Molecule: ribosomal RNA, 253 nt
Filed under: uncultured bacterium
Lineage: Bacteria
Description: partial 16S ribosomal RNA
Rfam family: Bacterial small subunit ribosomal RNA
Source: RNAcentral
GACAGAGGGUGCAAACGUUGCUCGGAAUUACUGGGCGUAAAGGGCGCGUAGGCGGCCUUCUAAGUCAGACGUGAAAUCCCCAGGCUUAACUUGGGAACUGCGUCUGAUACUGGGAGGCUUGAAUGCGGGAGAGGGAUGUGGAAUUCCAGGUGUAGCGGUGAAAUGCGUAGAUAUCUGGAGGAACACCGGUGGCGAAGGCGGCAUCCUGGACCGACAUUGACGCUGAGGCGCGAAAGCCAGGGGAGCAAACGGG